UGGGGGAUAUUGCACAAUGGGCGCAAGCCUGAUGCAGCGACGCCGCGUGGGGGAUGACGGCUUUCGGGUUGUAAACCUCUUUCGUCGGGGGACAAGGCUCUGCUUGGUGGUGGGGUUGAGGGUACCCGGUGAAGAAGCGCCGGCUAACUACGUGCCAGCAGCCGCGGUAAUACGUAGGGCGCGAGCGUUGUCCGGAAUUAUUGGGCGUAAAGGGCUCGUAGGCGGCUUGUCGCGUCUGCUGUGAAAAUGCGGGGCUUAACUCCGUACGUGCAGUGGGUACGGGCAGGCUAGAGUGCGGUAGGGGUGACUGGAAUUCCUGGUGUAGCGGUGGAAUGCGCAGAUAUCAGGAGGAACACCGAUGGCGAAGGCAGGUCACUGGGCUGUCACUGACGCUGAGGAGCGAAAGCGUGGGGAGCGAACAGGAUUAGAUACCCUGGUAGUCCAUGCUGUAAACGUUGGGAACUAGGUGUGGGGUUCUUUCCACGGAUUCUGCGCCGGAGCUAACGCAUUAAGUUCCCCGCCUGGGGAGUACGGCCGCAAGGCUA
RNAcentral lists this ribosomal RNA (545 nucleotides) under uncultured bacterium. Its description in RNAcentral is "bacterial SSU rRNA". It matches the Rfam family "Bacterial small subunit ribosomal RNA", at positions 355 to 896 of the family's 1533-position model. The record is from RNAcentral.